Molecule: ribosomal RNA, 253 nt
Filed under: uncultured bacterium
Lineage: Bacteria
Description: partial 16S ribosomal RNA
Rfam family: Bacterial small subunit ribosomal RNA
Source: RNAcentral
UACGUAGGGUGCGAGCGUUGUCCGGAAUUACUGGGCGUAAAGGGCUCGUAGGCGGCCAACUAAGUCAGACGUGAAAUCCCCAGGCUUAACCUGGGAACUGCGUCUGAUACUGGAUGGCUUGAAUUCGGGAGAGGGAUGCAGAAUUCCAGGUGUAGCGGUGAAAUGCGUAGAUAUCUGGAGGAAUACCGGUGGCGAAGGCGGCAUCCUGGACCGAGAUUGACGCUGAUGAGCGAAAGCUAGGGGAGCAAACGGG